This 253-nucleotide ribosomal RNA is filed under the name uncultured bacterium. Its description in RNAcentral is "partial 16S ribosomal RNA". It matches the Rfam family "Bacterial small subunit ribosomal RNA", at positions 524 to 776 of the family's 1533-position model. The record is from RNAcentral.
UACGUAGGGGGCAAGCGUUGUCCGGAAUCAUUGGGCGUAAAGCGCGUGUAGGCGGCUCGGUAAGUCCGCUCUGAAAGUCCAGGGCUCAACCCUGGGAUGCGGGUGGAUACUGCCGGGCUCGAGUCCGGAAGAGGCGAGUGGAAUUCCCGGUGUAGCAGUGGAAAUGCGUAGAUAUCGAGAGGAACACCAGUGGCGAAGGCGAGUCCCUGGACAACACCUGACACUGAGGCACGAAGCUAGGGGAGCAAACAGG